AUUGAACGCUGGCGGCAUGCCUUACACAUGCAAGUCGAACGGUAACAGGUCUUCGGAUGCUGACGAGUGGCGAACGGGUGAGUAAUGCAUCGGAACGUGCCCAGUAGUGGGGGAUAGCCCGGCGAAAGCCGGAUUAAUACCGCAUACGACCUGAGGGUGAAAGGGGGGGAUCGCAAGACCUCUCGCUAUUGGAGCGGCCGAUGUCAGAUUAGCUAGUUGGUGGGGUAAAGGCCUACCAAGGCAACGAUCUGUAGUUGGUCUGAGAGGACGACCGGCCACACUGGGACUGGGAAACGGCCCAGACUCCUACGGGAGGCAGAAGUGGGGAAUUUUGGACAAUGGGCGCAAGCCUGAUCCAGCAAUGCCGCGUGCAGGAAGAAGGCCUUCGGGUUGUAAACUGCUUUUGUCAGGGAAGAAAUCUUCUGGGUUAAUACCUCGGGAGGAUGACGGUGCCUGAAGAAUAAGCACCGGCUAACUACGUGCCAGCCGCCGCAGUAA
Molecule: ribosomal RNA, 498 nt
Filed under: uncultured bacterium
Lineage: Bacteria
Description: partial 16S ribosomal RNA
Rfam family: Bacterial small subunit ribosomal RNA
Source: RNAcentral